UAACGUUUUGGUGUUGCAACGAAAAUGGUU
Molecule: non-coding RNA, 30 nt
Filed under: Mus musculus (house mouse)
Lineage: Eukaryota; Metazoa; Chordata; Mammalia; Rodentia; Muridae
Source: RNAcentral